UGAAAUCUCACCAGGCCCGGACACUGGAAGGAUUGACAGAUUGAUAGCUCUUUCUUGAUUCGGUGCGUGGUGGUGCAUGGCCGUUCUUAGUUGGUGGAGUGAUUUGUCUGGUUAAUUCCGUUAACGAACGAGACCUCGACCUGCUAAAUAGAGCGACGAAUCCUUGUGAUUCGUUGGUACUUCUUAGAGGGACUGUUGGUGCCUAGCCAAUGGAAGUUCGAGGCAAUAA
RNAcentral lists this ribosomal RNA (229 nucleotides) under uncultured eukaryote. RNAcentral describes it as "partial 18S ribosomal RNA". It matches the Rfam family "Eukaryotic small subunit ribosomal RNA", at positions 1208 to 1456 of the family's 1831-position model. The record is from RNAcentral.